GCCUGCCCACUGACUUGAGUUGAAGGGCCGCGGUAUUUUGACCGUGCAAAGGUAGCAUAAUCAUUAGUCUUUUAAUUGAGGGCUUGUAUGAAUGGUUGGACAAAAAAUAAGCUGUCUCAGUUGCAAUAAUUGAAUUUAACUUUUAAGUGAAAAGGCUUAAAUAUUUUAGAGGGACGAUAAGACCCUAUAAAGCUUUACAAUUAUUUAACUAAAUUAUGAACUGUUAGUAUAAAUUUAAUUUAAUUAAUGUUUGUUUCGUUGGGGCGACGAGAAUAUAAUUUUUGUAACUGUUCUUUUGUAGUUUGUUGCAAUAGUUUUUGGAAAAAGAUUGAUCCUUUAUUAAAGAUUAAAAGAUUAAGUUACUUUAGGGAUAACAGCGUAAUCUUCUUUGAAAGUCCAUAUCGACAAGAAGGGUUGCGACCUCGAUGUUGAAUUAAGAUUUCUUUACGGCGCAGCAGUUGUA
RNAcentral lists this ribosomal RNA (463 nucleotides) under Trachysalambria longipes. RNAcentral describes it as "partial 16S ribosomal RNA". It matches the Rfam family "Bacterial large subunit ribosomal RNA", at positions 1857 to 2566 of the family's 2925-position model. Lineage: Eukaryota; Metazoa; Arthropoda; Malacostraca; Decapoda; Penaeidae. The record is from RNAcentral.